This 237-nucleotide ribosomal RNA is filed under the name uncultured bacterium. RNAcentral describes it as "partial 16S ribosomal RNA". It matches the Rfam family "Bacterial small subunit ribosomal RNA", at positions 99 to 334 of the family's 1533-position model. The record is from RNAcentral.
CGAACGGGUGAGUAACGCGUGAGGAACCUGCCUCAAAGAGGGGGACAACAGUUGGAAACGACUGCUAAUACCGCAUAAGCCCACGGCUCGGCAUCGAGCAGAGGGAAAAGGAGCAAUCCGCUUUGAGAUGGCCUCGCGUCCGAUUAGCUAGUCGGUGAGGUAACGGCCCACCAAGGCGACGAUCGGUAGCCGGACUGAGAGGUUGAACGGCCACAUUGGGACUGAGACACGGCCCAG